Molecule: ribosomal RNA, 143 nt
Filed under: uncultured Thauera sp.
Lineage: Bacteria; Pseudomonadati; Pseudomonadota; Betaproteobacteria; Rhodocyclales; Zoogloeaceae
Description: partial 16S ribosomal RNA
Rfam family: Bacterial small subunit ribosomal RNA
Source: RNAcentral
UGAUCAGCCAUGCCGCGUGAGUGAAGAAGGCCUUCGGGUUGUAAAGCUCUUUCGGCCGGGAAGAAAUCGCGCCAGCUAAUACCUGGUGUGGAUGACGGUACCGGAAGAAGAAGCACCGGCUAACUACGUGCCAGCAGCCGCGG